GGUUUUUUGAUUUUAAUAUAAAAUUAGGCCUGCCCAAUGAUUUAUUAAAUGGCCGCGGUAUUUUGACCGUGCGAAGGUAGCGUAAUCAUUAGUCUUUUAAUUAGGGACUUGUAUGAAUGGUCUGACGAGGGAAGAGCUGUCUCAUUUUUAUUUAUAGAAUUUUAAUUUUGAGUGAAAAUGCUUAAAUUUUUGUGAAAGACGAGAAGACCCUAUAGAGUUUUAUAGCUGUGCGUUUCAAGAAUAAAGGUAUUGUUAUCUUGGGAAUUUUACAAUUAUUUUGUUGGGGUGACAGGAAAAUUUGAUAAACUUUUCUUAUUAUAAUACAUAUGUGUAUAUUUAUGAUCCAAUUUUUUUGAUUAAAAGAUUAAAUUACCUUAGGGAUAACAGCGUUAUCUUUCCUUAGAGUUCUAAUCGAAGGGGAGGUUUGCGAGGGGAGGUUUGCGAUAUCUUUCCUUAGAGUUCUAAUCGAAGGGGAGGUUUGCGAGGGGAGGUUUGCGA
This 498-nucleotide ribosomal RNA is filed under the name Rhyzopertha sp. Bolivia KLB-2011. RNAcentral's name for it is "partial 16S ribosomal RNA". It matches the Rfam family "Bacterial large subunit ribosomal RNA", at positions 1829 to 2697 of the family's 2925-position model. Lineage: Eukaryota; Metazoa; Arthropoda; Insecta; Coleoptera; Bostrichidae. The record is from RNAcentral.